This 315-nucleotide unclassified non-coding RNA is filed under the name uncultured fungus. RNAcentral describes it as "partial contains small subunit ribosomal RNA, internal transcribed spacer 1, and 5.8S ribosomal RNA". The stretch from base 1 to 73 matches the Rfam family "Eukaryotic small subunit ribosomal RNA", at positions 1759 to 1831 of the family's 1831-position model. The record is from RNAcentral. Lineage: Eukaryota; Fungi.
ACAAACUUGGUCAUUUAGAGGAAGUAAAAGUCGUAACAAGGUUUCCGUAGGUGAACCUGCGGAAGGAUCAUUAGAGGGAGUGAAGCUAUUUUUCUUUGCACACUAGUUCUUUCUUUAAGGGCUUUCCUUUAAGGGCUUACUCGGCAAGCCGAGUAACUUUUUUUAAGGGCUUACUCGGCAAGCCGAGUAACUGCGUAAGACUAGCAACGUAACGUUUAACAUUUAACGUUUAUUCAACAAUUACAACUACGUAAAUUUACAUGAGCACCUUGCUGCAAUGGAUCUCUCGGCUCUUGCAUCGAUGAAGAACGCAGC